RNAcentral lists this ribosomal RNA (1442 nucleotides) under uncultured organism. Its description in RNAcentral is "16S ribosomal RNA". It matches the Rfam family "Bacterial small subunit ribosomal RNA". The record is from RNAcentral.
UGAACGCUAGCUACAGGCUUAACACAUGCAAGUCGAGGGGCAUCAGGAAGAAAGCUUGCUUUCUUUGCUGGCGACCGGCGCACGGGUGAGUAACACGUAUCCAACCUGCCCUUUACUCGGGGAUAGCCUUUCGAAAGAAAGAUUAAUACCCGAUAGCAUAAUGAUUCCGCAUGGUUUCAUUAUUAAAGGAUUCCGGUAAAGGAUGGGGAUGCGUUCCAUUAGGUUGUUGGUGAGGUAACGGCCCACCAAGCCUUCGAUGGAUAGGGGUUCUGAGAGGAAGGUCCCCCACAUUGGAACUGAGACACGGUCCAAACUCCUACGGGAGGCAGCAGUGAGGAAUAUUGGUCAAUGGGCGCUAGCCUGAACCAGCCAAGUAGCGUGAAGGAUGAAGGCUCUAUGGGUCGUAAACUUCUUUUAUAUAAGAAUAAAGUGCAGUAUGUAUACUGUUUUGUAUGUAUUAUAUGAAUAAGGAUCGGCUAACUCCGUGCCAGCAGCCGCGGUAAUACGGAGGAUCCGAGCGUUAUCCGGAUUUAUUGGGUUUAAAGGGAGCGUAGGUGGACUGGUAAGUCAGUUGUGAAAGUUUGCGGCUCAACCGUAAAAUUGCAGUUGAUACUGUCAGUCUUGAGUACAGUAGAGGUGGGCGGAAUUCGUGGUGUAGCGGUGAAAUGCUUAGAUAUCACGAAGAACUCCGAUUGCGAAGGCAGCUCACUGGACUGCAACUGACACUGAUGCUCGAAAGUGUGGGUAUCAAACAGGAUUAGAUACCCUGGUAGUCCACACAGUAAACGAUGAAUACUCGCUGUUUGCGAUAUACAGUAAGCGGCCAAGCGAAAGCAUUAAGUAUUCCACCUGGGGAGUACGCCGGCAACGGUGAAACUCAAAGGAAUUGACGGGGGCCCGCACAAGCGGAGGAACAUGUGGUUUAAUUCGAUGAUACGCGAGGAACCUUACCCGGGCUUAAAUUGCAGUGGAAUGAUGUGGAAACAUGUCAGUGAGCAAUCACCGCUGUGAAGGUGCUGCAUGGUUGUCGUCAGCUCGUGCCGUGAGGUGUCGGCUUAAGUGCCAUAACGAGCGCAACCCUUAUCUUUAGUUACUAACAGGUUAUGCUGAGGACUCUAGAGAGACUGCCGUCGUAAGAUGUGAGGAAGGUGGGGAUGACGUCAAAUCAGCACGGCCCUUACGUCCGGGGCUACACACGUGUUACAAUGGGGGGUACAGAAGGCAGCUAGCGGGUGACCGUAUGCUAAUCCCAAAAUCCUCUCUCAGUUCGGAUCGAAGUCUGCAACCCGACUUCGUGAAGCUGGAUUCGCUAGUAAUCGCGCAUCAGCCACGGCGCGGUGAAUACGUUCCCGGGCCUUGUACACACCGCCCGUCAAGCCAUGGGAGCCGGGGGUACCUGAAGUACGUAACCGCAAGGAUCGUCCUAGGGUAAAACUGGUGAC